UAGACUGCUUCACGUGCCAUUUCCAAUUAAUGAACUUUCACGUGAAAGAUUUAGAUCGUGGCCCGAUUUGUAGUUUAACGGCUAACGAUUUCCUGUCCAUUAAUGAAAUAUCUCACAUGAUGUCCCCUCAAUUUCGAAUGAAGUUCACAGCGAGUGAACUUGGGAAUUUUAUCUUACCCAGCUUUGAUGAAAGCUUUUGCUUUUCUUCAUCUUUAUUCAAACAUGAAGUGCAGGCGCACGAGGAGCGCAGGACCGUGGGACUUACUCUAAAGCGGCUUCAGCUCCUUUAAUCCCUGCUCCGAAUUGGUGAUCAGAAAGCUGCCUGUACAAUACCUGCCCCGAAUUAAAGGAGAAUGCCAGCGAACGGAAUGGAUACCCCUGGCGUUCCCCCUCGGCUGCGAUGGCUAAUCACGCUCCUGGUGCAGCAGCACAAUACUGGACUUGGGCUGAGUGUCCUCUCUGAUCAGAAACCUCCUCAGUAGUGCUGGCCCCAGUACCCAACAAUAUCCUCAAUACCAGACAGCAGAUGAUCCAAAAGCUAUGAAACAGCACACAAACCACAGAGUUUUUUUUUUUUUUUUCCUACAAUGGGCAUGGCAAAAAGACAAGUGCUUAUUCCCAAAUUACAGUGUACAGCACUGAGUUCUGUGACUCAGAGCUCUAGAGCUCAGUGAACUGGAGGCUCCAGUAAUACCCUGCCACCUGCCUGUUUAACUCACCCGACUGUGUAUCUCUUCACUGACUGUAGUGGGCGCCCUCUUCCUGCGCUUCACUUCCAGCAACUCCACCAGUGGCUUAAUGGUCAUGCCCUAAAUCCCAGAAACGUAGCACAGUGUGCACAUAGACUGUUAAUCAGAAGUCAGACUAUGUACUACACCUUGCUCCUGGUUUAGCCUAAGGUGUUCUAGGCAGCCCAGAACCAAAGGCUAGGAACCUUUGCUUGAGGUUCAAUGAUGGUAGACAUUUCUGCAACCAUUUUGUAAGGUACCAAUUGUUCAAUUUUGUGAAGUUGAAAAUAUUAAGAGUUCAAUAUCUUGCAACUGUAGAUGGUCUUUUGAACCCAUUACAGUCUCACAAGUGUUCAGACUACAAUGUGUAAGAACAGCUGUGCAGAAGACCAGGAGACAGGUGUCUAGGGUGUGUGCGCACAAUGGUGUACCAGGAACUUGGCUGUGAGUGAACUAUUGUCUGCUUUACCUGCACAAAGACUGUGAAGAGGAUGACCACAAUAGUAGUGGUGAUGAAGAGUCUCUUCUUAGGGAAGUCAUCGAUCAAGAAGACCAGAGAAAAACAUAUUGCCCCUCUCAGGCCACCGUAGGCGAUGAUGAACUGGUCCCGAAAGGUGACAGGGUUUCGCCGCAGUUUGUUCAUCACGGCCGUCAGGAGCAGCACACCUGAGACCGGACAGCAGAGGGCGCUGUUGUGAAUAUAUGCCAGUGUGAAUUCUUCAAGGGCCUCUGUGGUAAUACAGUUUACCCACCCAGGGCCCUCCAGAAGAGGCACAGGAAGAGUGUGGCAGAGACAAAGGGCCAGCUCCACAUGUGUACAUCCUGGAUGGUGGACACGCCCAGGAAGAUGAAGAUCAGAGUCUCGCUGACACUGCUCCACAUCUUCAGGAAGUAUUUUAUGGUGGUGUUGGACUCCUGGGAUACGUUGGCCUCCACAUACUGCUUCAUACUAACAGCACAGGUCACAAUCCUAAGACCAGGGGAGGACAUUCAGGCGUUUGGAUUUUUACUGAUAACUUUUCAUCUGAGACUUUCUUAGUUGUUUUAAAAUAAAUAAAACAAUUCAGUACUUGUUCUAUUAUAGAAAUGUAAAUAAAAUAGCAGGUUCUAUUAUUAAUUAUGUAUUUAAGCUUUGGCCAUGUUACCUUCAGACCACCAAAACAUUGCAGGUGUGGUUUAGUGCAGGGCAUUUAUUUAUUUAUUUAUUUAUUUAUUUUCAGUGACGCAGAAUUGGCGAUUGUGUUGGCCAGGGUACGGGAGGGUUCAG
Long non-coding RNA from Anguilla anguilla (European eel), 1995 nucleotides. RefSeq lists it as uncharacterized. Lineage: Eukaryota; Metazoa; Chordata; Actinopteri; Anguilliformes; Anguillidae. The record is from RefSeq and is a predicted model, not a curated record. The transcript is spliced from 5 exons.